CGCUGCAUCUCUGANAAUCCUAGAGAUAGGACNUCCCCUUCGGGGGCAGAGUGACAGGUGUNGCAUGGUUGUCGUCAGCUCGUGUCGUGAGAUGUUGGGUUAAGUCCCGCAACGAGCGCAACCCUUGAUCUUAGUUGCCAGCAUUCAGUUGGGCACUCUAAGGUGACUGCCGGUGACAAACCGGAGGAAGGUGGGGAUGACGUCAAAUCAUCAUGCCCCUUAUGACCUGGGCUACACACGUGCUACAAUGGACAGAACAAAGGGCAGCGAAACCGCGAGGUUAAGCCAAUCCCACAAAUCUGUUCUCAGUUCGGAUCGCAGUCUGCAACUCGACUGCGUGAAGCUGGAAUCGCUAGUAAUCGCGGAUCAGCAUGCCGCGGUGAAUACGUUCCCGGGCCUUGUACACACCGCCCGUCACACCACGAGAGUUUGUAACACCCGAAGUCGGUGAGGUAACCUUUUAGGAGCCAGCCGCCGAAGGUGGGACAGAUGAUUGGGGUGAAGUCGUAACAAGGGUAANCCGUAAAA
Molecule: ribosomal RNA, 528 nt
Filed under: Bacillus sp. HB-83
Lineage: Bacteria; Bacillati; Bacillota; Bacilli; Caryophanales; Bacillaceae
Description: bacterial SSU rRNA
Rfam family: Bacterial small subunit ribosomal RNA
Source: RNAcentral